UAUGGUUGUGUGCCAGCAACCGCGGUAAUACGUAUGGAGCAAGCGUUAUCCGGAUUUACUGGGUGUAAAGGGAGUGUAGGUGGCCAGGCAAGUCAGAAGUGAAAGCCCGGGGCUCAACCCCGGGACUGCUUUUGAAACUGCAGGGCUAGAGUGCAGGAGGGGCAAGUGGAAUUCCUAGUGUAGCGGUGAAAUGCGUAGAUAUUAGGAGGAACACCAGUGGCGAAGGCGGCUUGCUGGACUGUAACUGACACUGAGGCUCGAAAGCGUGGGGAGCAAACAGG
This 281-nucleotide ribosomal RNA is filed under the name [Lactobacillus] rogosae. Its description in RNAcentral is "Lactobacillus rogosae partial 16S ribosomal RNA". It matches the Rfam family "Bacterial small subunit ribosomal RNA", at positions 496 to 776 of the family's 1533-position model. The record is from RNAcentral. Lineage: Bacteria; Bacillati; Bacillota; Clostridia; Lachnospirales; Lachnospiraceae.